GUCUGCCAAAGUGCUUGGAUUACUGGUGUGAGCCACCACACCCGGCCAACACCAGCAAUUUCUAUCAUUAGUAGGAGCAAUGAUACUAACAGACUGGCUUACAGGACCGAAUUUUAAAGUAAUCCCCAUAGGCUUCAGUGCAUUUCAAGGCCAGGUACGUGCCAUUCUAAACAACAAGGGCAGCAACUGGGCCAAAUGGAAAGAGUGUGGGUUGAUGGGACUCACUUUCACACUUGAUUCUAUGUACCAUCUUGCAUUUACCUAUACUUGAUCCUGUGUUUUCAGGGAUCUAUCACAACCCCACUGUGAUAAAGGAUGAAAGGAUGGAGAACACAGAUAUGGGAUGGUUUGUAUUAGGUUGGUGCAAAAGUAACUGACAUUACUUUCAAUGGCAAAAACUGCAAUUACUUUUGCUCCAACCUACUAUGUCUUGAAAGCAUUGGGGAGAACCCAGGGUUGCCAAAUUGCAUGAGUUCAGGAAGCUUCAUUCCUUCAGGAAGUUUCCUCUAGGGGGCACCACUCACAGAGCUCCGCACUAUGACCCCAUCCUGGAGUUGGGCCAUCCGGUAGCCGUCCCAACCCAUAGGCUACUGUGCAAGAGCUGAGAAGCCUGCCUGAGAAAACAAACUUCCUGCAUCAGAGCACCAGAAAGCCAAACACUUGAUCUCUAACACCUGUGUUCACUGUGAGAAAAUUUACAACGAGAAGAGAAAGGGCAGCCACAUAGACAUUUCUGGAUCGAUUUCUUUAAAAGUCAUCCCUUUCGUGGCCAUCAAGGAGUCCCAAGACUCCCUCUAAGUUUUCUCUAAUAUCUGUUAAAUCCUUUCCAAAAAAGAAAAAAAAAAACCCAUCAGAAUUAUCUAGGCCUCAGCAUGCUCCUUCCCUUCUAAUUCUUGGCAGUACUAUAAGACAGGCAUUAUAAGGGAACGAUUAAGAAAACAGAUGUAACCAUUAGGCACCAUACAAUUCUAGAGGAUUAAUAAUGUUAACUUUUGCAACACAUAGGUGGUUUUUUGGUGUUUGUUCUUAUAAUGUCCUAUUUACAUCACAUAUUUAAACUUGAGAGCAUAUUAGAAUGAGUUGGGUACAACCUCCUUUUGUUUCUUCACUCUCACAGCUGUUUGAAUGCCUGCUUGUGUGAGGCACUGUGCUAAAUGCGGCGGGGGGUAAAAUGGUGAGGACAAAGCAAAGGAGUCUGUGCUCUCCUGGAGCCCAGAGUCUAGCGUGGUUUAGUUUGGGCUUCCUCACAACAUGGUGGCUUUCAAGCAGACGGACUCCAAAAGCAAGAUUCCCAGCGAACAAGGAGAAAGCUGCAUGGCCUUUUAUGACCUCAUCUCAGAAGUCACACAUCAUUCUACUGGUUACGAGUGAGUCCUUGAUCCACUGAGAUCCAAGAGGAUGAGACAAAGUCCCCAUAUCUCAAUGAAAGAUCGUCAAGGUCACACUGAAGAAGACCAUGUGGGAUGGGAGAGAGACAUAGUGGUCACAUUUGAGAAAGGCCAUCUGACAGAUGGGAGAAGCUGAAAGGGCUGCAGUAAGCAAAUACACUUUGGACGAAAAUUUUUCUUAAGAUCUAUCUUUAGUACACAGAUUUCUAUGAAUUAGCUCCAGUUAUAUUUAUUUUCAACCUUGUCAUUACAGAAGUAACAUAUUUCAAAACACUUGACAGUUUACAAAGUACUCUUAAUUGAUCAUCAUAAUAAGCCUGCUAAUUAUUAGGACAAAAUAUUAUCACCCACACUGUUUAGACAAGAAAACUAAGACCCAAAUUCUCAUAGCCAAAAAAGGAGCAUGUUCAGGAUCUGAGUCCAGAAUUAACUGUUCUUUCUACAGAAACAAACCAUCUAUUGAAACAUGCCAUGGCAAUGAAAAAUCACAAUUUAUGGUCUGAUGGUCUUUGUAUCCUUUUUAGGAUAUAAAGCAUUUGAAUGGUCUAUGGCUUUGAGUGUUAGCUUCAUCAUUUAUAUGAGAAUAUGAAACAGCCAUUGUUGUAAAUAGCAUCCAUUAUGGACUGAACAUAAAGACUAUUUCCAAAUUGCUUCCAACAUUUUUUGUCCUAUCUCUGCAAAUAAUUAAGGGUUAGCAACUUUAAAAUUAAUUCUAGUAGAAGAGCUAUGCAUCUGGCUUAAUGGGCACAAUAAAUCAAUCCCAUGAGAUAAAAUCUAUUUUAAGAACUCUUCUGAAAAGGUGCUAUUUCAAAGAAGGCAUUGUAUUAUUUUCUCUCUCUUUGGAGCAGCAGUCCAAGCUCUCAUAUUCCAACCUCUGAGCAACUUUUAGCAUCAACUGUGAACAUGUUAGAAGUACAAAAAAGCAUAAUCUCAGGCCCCAUAUUCCAGGUCUACUGCCAUGAAUUGAAUGGUGGCUCCCUAAAAGAUACCUCUAUGUCCUUAUCCCUGGAACCUGUGCAUGAAUCUUAUUUGGAAAAUAAGUGGGGGUGUGUCUUUGCAGAUGUAAUGAAGAAUCUCAAGAUGAGAUGAGACCAUCCUGGAUUAUCUAGGAAGGUCCUAAAUCCAAUAGCAAAUGUCUUUGUAACAGAAAGGCAGAGGGACAUUUGAGAAAGAGAAGAGGAGGAGGCCACGUAAAAACAAAGGCAGAGAUGAAAAUGAUGCAGCUGAGGCCAUGGAAUCCCUGGAGCCACCAGGAGCUGGAAGAGGCAAGGAAGGAUCCUCCCCUGGAGCCUUUAAAGGGAGCAUGCCUUGGCAACACCUUGAUUUUGGCUUCUGGCUUCCAGAAGCUAGAGAAUAAGUUUCUGUUGCUUUAAACAUCAACAUUACAGUGAUUUGUUAUGGCAGCCCUAGGAAAUUAAUAUACCUAACUGAGUUAGAAACCAGGGUAGUACGCCUAGCAAUGAGUACUUAAACAAAUCCUCCUGGGGAUUCUGCUGUACACUCAAGCUUCGGAUACACUGGUCUAGAGUAAUUGAAUUGUGGCUGGCUGAAGACAUGGGUAUUUUUUCCCCAGGACAGCAGAAGCCUCCCCUGCACCUGCAAAUAGACCAGUGCAGGCAUUGAACAUCUGGGGCAAGACUAGCGUCUCCCAGCAGAACGUAUGACCUGAAACUGGUCCCGAGGAAACAUCAGAUGGACCACGUUGAGCAUCACACUGCAGAAUGUAGGGCUGCAUUCUUCCAAACUGUUGGGACGAUGAAAGUCAGGGAAAGACUGAGGAAAUGCUCCAAACUGGGGCAGACUGCAAAGAUGUGACAAUUAAAUGCAAUGUGUAACUCGGGGUUUCUGCACUUUAGCUCUUUCAAGAUUUUUGACUGGAUAAUUCUUGGGGUCUGUCUUGCACACUGCACGGUGUCUGGCAUCAUCUCUGGUGUCUAAGCCCUAGAUGUCAAUACCAAUUCCCACUUGUGUGAUCAAAUGUCUCCAGACAUUACCAAAUGUACCAUGGGUGGGGUCAGAGGGGAGUGCAAAGUCAGCUCCAGAUGAGAACCAUUGGUGUAACUGGAUGGAAUCCUGGGCCAGAUAUGAAAAAGAGACAUCACUAGGACAGCUGGACAGAUCUGAGGUUAAUGAAGAUUUCUCACUGUUGCAGAAGGUAUUUUUAAGAAGGGAAAGGUAGGAGGGCUAGAAAAACCCUGAACGGGGUGUGGAGAUUGGACAUUGCAUCAAUGUAUUGAUGCACUGGGUUUUGUUUCAGUGCUCAUUUCUUGACUUGUGGGUUUGCAUGGUGGUUAUGCAGGAGGGUGUACUUGGGGAGGCAGAUAUGAUGGAGCACUGAGGGUUGAAGGGACAUCACAUAGAUACAUACAUAGGGAGAUAGAGUGUACGCAGUGAAAUGUGAAUAGCUGGGGAUCAGCAUGAGGGGGUAUGGAAGUUCUUUGUUCUGUUCGUGCAACUUUUCUGUACAUUUAAAAUAACCCCAGAAUAAAAUAUUUCCAUUAAUUUACCUGAUUAAAUUGUACUUGUGGAUUUAUUUGCACAACCAAUUAAGGAUGAUGGUGGAAAUGGUGGAGAUGCAGAUGAUGCUAGUAUUGGUCAAUGUUCAUUUUUGUCUUCAUUAUGUGCCAGGCAGCAAGCUAAGUACUUUAUGGCUAUUAGUCAGUGCUGUCCUCAAAUCAUCCCUAUGGUGGAGGAAUUAGUAUCCUUCUACUAUAGAUGAAGAAACAGAAGUUCUGAGAAGGUAGGUGACUUACUCACAACCACACAAUAAGUAGCUGGUAGAGUUGGGGUGGAAGCCCAUUCACAUUGGAUUAUGGGACCCAUGCUCUAAGCCGUUAGGUCAUAAGGGAGACUUUUUCGUCGUUCCUGUGUCCACAGAGGUGGAGGAUGAACUAGGCCCUCGGUAAGUGAGGGAAGGAGUGCACAGGCAGAGCUCUGCACAGAAUGACAGCAAGGUGCACAAGUCAUCCAUAUGAUUUUAUACUUGUGAAUUCAAGUAUAAGGAGCAACUUGUUAGACUUCAGUCUGUCUCUAAAAGCCAAAUAUAGGGUGGCAAUGGCUGCAUUCAGUUGAAAAAUACCCUGGAUCUAGUAAAGGAAGGAAGGUGUUUAUCCUCUUGGUACUUUUUUUUUUUUAAUCCCUAAUUUCAGGCAUGUGCAGCUUUGGUUUGGAAUGAUUUGACUCAGAUAGACAAGUGGUGGGUUUAGGUGAGCUUUUUUAGGUGAGAGUGGUUGGAAUUAUAGAGGUGAUAUGGGAGAAGGUGAUGUGAAGGGUAAUUGCUGCUUAAUAAUUGGGAAGAGAAAGUCUGUAAAGAGCUUAUCAUUUAAUGUGUUCAAGACUUGAGAUCCAGAAGAACUGCAUCCCAGGGCUUUGAGGGUUCUUGCUGAUGCGAUCUCGGUGCUAAAAAAUCAUGAACAUGGAUAGGGAACGCACAACACUGAAAGUCACUGUUGGCUUAAGUCAGAGAGGUUUGGAACUCUUAAUGCACAGGCAGGAGAAGCCAGAUGUCAGAAAUCCAGGAAGACAUGAAGGGGCAGGGAAAGGGGGAGUCCACGAUUUCUGGGAAAAUUUCAGGCAGUUAGGAACUGGUGGAGGCUAAAGAGAUGUGCUCACUCCAGAUGGCAAGGAGGGAACAUCAACUUUAGAAAUUAGAAAAAGGUACAUUUGCUAAAAUGUGAAAAAAGCAAGCAACUAUUAAAUAGGUAGUUGUUACCAUCUAUUGAGGACACAAUGAAAUAAUAAGCAUGAAGUACUUAGCAUGUUUCCUGGAACAAGAAAGCAAUAAUUGCAGAAUUUAUUAAAACUUUAA
Molecule: long non-coding RNA, 5196 nt
Filed under: Homo sapiens (human)
Lineage: Eukaryota; Metazoa; Chordata; Mammalia; Primates; Hominidae
Description: HSALNT0387358
Source: RNAcentral